CGGAAGGGAUAAUCGCUGAAGGCAUCUAAGCGAGAAGCCCCCUCCGAGAUGAGACCUCCCGCCGCAAGGCUAAGGCCCCUCGAAGACUACGAGGUUGAUAGACCGGGAGUGCAAGCAUGGCGACAUGCUGAGCGGACCGGCACUAAUAGGCCGAGGACCUGGCCAC
Molecule: ribosomal RNA, 166 nt
Organism: Sharpea azabuensis
Lineage: Bacteria; Bacillati; Bacillota; Erysipelotrichia; Erysipelotrichales; Coprobacillaceae
Rfam family: Bacterial large subunit ribosomal RNA
Source: Rfam